Molecule: small nuclear RNA, 114 nt
Organism: Bos indicus x Bos taurus (hybrid cattle)
Lineage: Eukaryota; Metazoa; Chordata; Mammalia; Artiodactyla; Bovidae
Source: Ensembl
ACUUUGGCAGCUCAUAUACUAAAAAUUAAAAAAAAAACUAGAACGAUACAGAGAAGAUUAGCAUGGUGCCUGCGCGAGGAAGACAUGCAAAUUGGCCAAGUGUUCCAUAUAAUU